This 342-nucleotide ribosomal RNA is filed under the name Lactifluus sp. PGK13_130. Its description in RNAcentral is "eukaryotic LSU rRNA". It matches the Rfam family "Eukaryotic large subunit ribosomal RNA", at positions 1 to 337 of the family's 3401-position model. Lineage: Eukaryota; Fungi; Basidiomycota; Agaricomycetes; Russulales; Russulaceae. The record is from RNAcentral.
CCUCAAAUCGGGUGAGACUACCCGCUGAACUUAAGCAUAUCAAUAAGCGGAGGAAAAGAAACUAACAAGGAUUCCCCUAGUAACUGCGAGUGAAGCGGGAAAAGCUCAAAUUUAAAAUCUGGCGGUCUUUGGCCGUCCGAGUUGUAAUUUAGAGAAGCGUCUUCCGCGUCGGGCCGCGCACAAGUCUCCUGGAAUGGAGCGUCAUAGAGGGUGAGAAUCCCGUCUCUGGCACGGACCCCCGGUGCUUCUGUGAUGCGCUCUCAAAGAGUCGAGUUGUUUGGGAAUGCAGCUCAAAAUGGGGUGGUGAACUCCAUCUAAAGCUAAAUAUUGGCGAGAGACCGA